CCUACGGGAGGCAGCAGUAGGGAAUUUUCGGCAAUGGGGGCAACCCUGACCGAGCCACGCCGCGUGAACGAAGACGUCAUUCGUAAUGUAAAGUUCUUUUAACAGGGAAGAAAGAGAAAUUUCAUGUGACCUCAAGAAUAAGCUCCGGCUAACUACGUGCCAGCAGCCGCGGUAAUACGUAGGGAGCGAGCGUUAUCCGGCUUUAUUGCGCGUAAAGGGUGCGUAGAUGGCAUAGUAAGUCUUUUGUAAAAAUGCUGGGCUCAACCCAGUAGGGCAAAAGAUACUGCAAAACUAGAGUAUGAGAGAGGUAAGUGGAAUGAGAUGUGUAGCGGUAAAAUGCGUAAAUAUCUGUCAGAACACCAGUGGCGAAGGCGGCUUGCUGGGUCGCUACUGACAUUGAGGCACGAAAGCGUGGGGAGCAAACAGGAUUAGAUACCCCUGUAGUC
This 446-nucleotide ribosomal RNA is filed under the name uncultured bacterium. Its description in RNAcentral is "partial 16S ribosomal RNA". It matches the Rfam family "Bacterial small subunit ribosomal RNA", at positions 338 to 795 of the family's 1533-position model. The record is from RNAcentral.